This 1396-nucleotide ribosomal RNA is filed under the name uncultured bacterium. Its description in RNAcentral is "bacterial SSU rRNA". It matches the Rfam family "Bacterial small subunit ribosomal RNA". The record is from RNAcentral.
AGAGUUUGAUCCUGGCUCAGGAUGAACGCUAGCGGCAGGCUUAACACAUGCAAGUCGAACGGCAGCGGGGAUUCACUUCGGUGAAUCUGCCGGCGAGUGGCGCACGGGUGAGUAACACGUAUGCAACCUGCCUCUGUCAGGGGUAUAACUCUGCGAAAGUAGGGCUAAUACCGCGUAUAUUCCCGGAGGGCAUCCUCCGGGGAGGAAAGGUUUCGGCCGGACAGAGAUGGGCAUGCGGCGCAUUAGGCAGUUGGCGGGGUAACGGCCCACCAAACCGACGAUGCGUAGGGGUUCUGAGAGGAAGGUCCCCCACACUGGUACUGAGACACGGACCAGACUCCUACGGGAGGCAGCAGUGAGGAAUAUUGGUCAAUGGCCGGAAGGCUGAACCAGCCAAGCCGCGUGAAGGACGAAGGUGCCAAGCAUUGUAAACUUCUUUUGUCAAGGGACAAAAUCAGGCUCGAGAGCCUGACCGAGGGUACUUGAAGAAAAAGCAUCGGCUAACUCCGUGCCAGCAGCCGCGGUAAUACGUAGGGGGCGAGCGUUAUCCGGAUUCAUUGGGCGUAAAGCGCGCGUAGGCGGCCGCCUAAGCGGAACCUCUAACCCCGGGGCUCAACCUCGGGCCGGGUUCCGGACUGGGCGGCUCGAGUGCGGUAGAGGAGAGCGGAAUUCCCGGUGUAGCGGUGGAAUGCGCAGAUAUCGGGAAGAACACCGAUGGCGAAGGCAGCUCUCUGGGCCGUCACUGACGCUGAGGCGCGAAAGCUGGGGGAGCGAACAGGAUUAGAUACCCUGGUAGUCCCAGCCGUAAACGAUGGACGCUAGGUGUGGGGGGAACAUCCCUCCGUGCCGCAGCCAACGCAUUAAGCGUCCCGCCUGGGGAGUACGGCCGCAAGGCUAAAACUCAAAGGAAUUGACGGGGGCCCGCACAAGCAGCGGAGCAUGUGGCUUAAUUCGAAGCAACGCGAAGAACCUUACCAGGGCUUGACAUGCGAGUGAAGCCGGGGAGACCCGGUGGCCGAGAGGAGCUCGCGCAGGUGGUGCAUGGCUGUCGUCAGCUCGUGUCGUGAGAUGUUGGGUUAAGUCCCGCAACGAGCGCAACCCCCGUCCCGCGUUGCCAGCAUUAGGUUGGGGACUCGCGGGAGACUGCCGGCGUCAAGCCGGAGGAGGGUGGGGACGACGUCAAGUCAUCAUGCCCCUUAUGCCCUGGGCUGCACACGUGCUACAAUGGCCGGUACAGAGGGUUGCCACCCCGCGAGGGGGAGCGGAUCCCGGAAAGCCGGCCCCAGUUCGGAUCGCAGGCUGCAACCCGCCUGCGUGAAGCCGGAGUUGCUAGUAAUCGCGGAUCAGCACGCCGCGGUGAAUACGUUCCCGGGCCUUGCACACAAAGCCCGUCAAG